UAACGAAUAUUGGGCAAUGGGCGAAAGCCUGACCCAGCAAUGCCGCGUGCAGGACGAAGUCCUUCGGGAUGUAAACUGCUGUCAGGGGUCCGCAAGCGAAGGGGUCCAACAGGCCCUGGAGUUGAGCAGCCCCAGAGGAAGCCUCGACUAACUCUGUGCCAGCAGUCGCGGUAAGACAGAGGAGGCAAGCGUUGUUCGGAAUCACUGGGCUUAAAGCGCGUGUAGGCGGCUUAGAAAGUGUCGUGUGAAAUCCCGCGGCUCAACCGCGGAACUGCACGGCAAACUACUUGGCUUGAGGUCGGUAGAGGUGCCUGGAACUCUAGGUGGAGCGGUGAAAUGCGUAGAUAUCUAAGGGAACGCCAGGGGCGAAAGCGGGUAACUGGGCUUGUCCUGACGCUGAGGCACGAAAGCAAGGGGAGCAAACA
This 425-nucleotide ribosomal RNA is filed under the name uncultured prokaryote. RNAcentral describes it as "bacterial SSU rRNA". It matches the Rfam family "Bacterial small subunit ribosomal RNA", at positions 355 to 774 of the family's 1533-position model. The record is from RNAcentral.